RNAcentral lists this ribosomal RNA (468 nucleotides) under uncultured bacterium. Its description in RNAcentral is "partial 16S ribosomal RNA". It matches the Rfam family "Bacterial small subunit ribosomal RNA", at positions 28 to 507 of the family's 1533-position model. The record is from RNAcentral.
GACGAACGCUGGCGGCGUGCUUAACACAUGCAAGUCGAACGGAAAGGCCCUGCUUUUGUGGGGUGCUCGAGUGGCGAACGGGUGAGUAACACGUGAGUAACCUGCCCUUGACUUUGGGAUAAAUUCAGGAAACUGGGGCUAAUACCGGAUAGGAGCUCCUGCUGCAUGGGGGGGGUUGGAAAGUUUCGGCGGUUGGGGAUGGACUCGCGGCUUAUCAGCUUGUUGGUGGGGUAGUUGCUUACCAAGGCUUUGACGGGUAGGCCGCCUGGGAGGGGGACCGGCCACCAUGGGACUGCGAUACGGACCAGACUCCUACGGGAGGCAGCAGGGGGGAAUAUUGCACAAUGGGCGCAAGCCUGAUGCAGCAGCGCCGCGUGCGGGAUGACGGCCUUCGGGUUGUAAACCACUUUCGCCUGUGACGAAGAGUGAGUGACGGUAAUGGGUAAAGAAGCACCGGCUAACUACGUG